AUGGCUAACACUGGCGUGCAACUUUGCUGACCCAGACUGAAGUUUUCGUGUGACACAACACGAACGCAGCUGGCUUAAGCAGCGAGAUCGUCAGACUCAUCCAGCCACUUGGGACUUCCAUUGUAGCCUCCUCUACCAACUCCUCGCAAAUGGGAACCAGCUGGGAAGAUAUGGUUUGGAUGUCUGAACUAACUCAUGAAGGAAACUUCAUAUUAAAACCUGAACCUACUUUAUCAUAUUAAAACUUGAAAUGUCAGAUGAUUUUUAAAAUUCUAACUGCAGAACUGUGUUGCUAGACCACCACUCUACGGUUCCAUGGAGGAUGCUGUGUACAAAAUAUUAACUGAUGGAUGGUUUGAUGAAGAACAUUCCUAACAUUUGUGUGUUAUGAUGACUGCCAUGAAUUUCACAACUAGAACAGAAAGCUAUUGAAGAUAACUAAAAUUCAGCAUUACAUUUGGAAACAAAUAUUGUACCACUACACAAAUAACUGUAAAAAUACAGAUUCUUGUAAAUGCUUUGGAGUAUAUUGAAAAAUCACUAUCGUGCUAAGAACAAGGAAGGAGGCGAGCAGUCUGCUGUUUCCACCACUCCCCUCUGCCUUUACCAAACACAAAAUUAUGCUUUGGAUGCAUUUAUCCUCUGGGUGUUCACCUCUCCAAAAGUUAAACCUUUAUCUUGGAAGACUAAAUGUACAGUUCAUCUGAGGCUGAAACA
Molecule: long non-coding RNA, 717 nt
Filed under: Dromaius novaehollandiae (emu)
Lineage: Eukaryota; Metazoa; Chordata; Aves; Casuariiformes; Dromaiidae
Description: lncRNA (ENSDNVG00000014351.1)
Source: RNAcentral